GGGUUAGCAGGUUGGUCGUGCCACUGGUAUGCACUGGCCUUGCUGAUUCCUCCCUCUUGAUGAGCCGUAAUGCCAUUAAUUUGGUGUUGUGGGGAAUCAGGACUGUUACUUUGAAAAAAUUAGAGUGUUUAAAGCAGGCCUACGCUUGAAUACAUUAGCAUGGAAUAAUGAAAUAGGACG
Molecule: ribosomal RNA, 180 nt
Filed under: uncultured Glomeromycotina
Lineage: Eukaryota; Fungi; Glomeromycota
Description: partial small subunit ribosomal RNA
Rfam family: Eukaryotic small subunit ribosomal RNA (bases 40-180)
Source: RNAcentral